CUGAACGCCUCUAAGUCAGAAUCCGUGCUAGAAACGAUGAUGUUGGUGUCGCACAUUUGACUUGUGUUUAAAUAGAGCUUUGCUCGUGAACCAAAUAUGGUGGGCUGGGUUGUCUUUGCGGAAACGCUUGGGUGACUUGUCUACGAAUUGUAAUCAUAAUAUGGGCGGCGGUGAAUCCUUUGCAGACGACUUGAAUGGGAACGGGGUACUGUAAGUGGUAGAGUAGCCUUGUUGCUACGAUCCACUGAGGUUAAGCCCUUGUUCUAAAGAUUUGUUC
This 277-nucleotide ribosomal RNA is filed under the name Armillaria sp. CMW 10578. RNAcentral describes it as "partial large subunit ribosomal RNA". It matches the Rfam family "Eukaryotic large subunit ribosomal RNA", at positions 3120 to 3401 of the family's 3401-position model. The record is from RNAcentral. Lineage: Eukaryota; Fungi; Basidiomycota; Agaricomycetes; Agaricales; Physalacriaceae.